GAUCAAAGUCACAGGUGUCGGACAGGAUCAAGGUCACAGGUGUCGUACAGGAUCAAAGUCACAGGUGUCGGACAGGAUCAAGGUCACAGGUGUCAGACAGGAUCAAAGUCACAGGUGUUGGACAGGAUCAAGGUCACAGGUGUCGGACAGGAUCAAGGUCACAGGUGUCGGACAGGAUCAAGGUCACAGGUGUCAGACAGGAUCAAAGUCACAGGUGUCGGACAGGAUCAAGGUCACAGGUGUCAGACAGGAUCAAAGUCACAGGUGUCGGACAGGAUCAAGGUCACAGGUGUCAGACAGGAUCAAAGUCACAGGUGUCGGACAGGAUCAAGGUCACAGGUGUCAGACAGGAUCAAAGUCACAGGUGUUGGACAGGAUCAAGGUCACAGGUGUCGGACAGGAUCAAGGUCACAGGUGUCGGACAGGAUCAAGGUCACAGGUGUCGGACAGGAUCAAGGUCACAGGUGUCAGUACAGGAUCAAAGUCCUGUUAGUGUGACACUAACCACACAUAUGCAGGAAACCAUAUUUAAGUUAUUGGGUUUGAGAACAACAUCUUCACACCUCCCAUCCAACCCAGCCCACUGACUGACAUCACACCUCUGGAAACCCCAUUAACAACUCCUCCCAGCAAUCAAGUUGCACUCACGAUUUGUGAAGAGGAUGUGUAUCGGCUCUUUCAGAGACAGAAGACAAGGAAAGCUCCUGGACUAGACUGGGUCUCCCCCUCCUGUCUCAAAGCAUGUGCUGAUCAACUGACUCCUAUCUUCACCCAUAUCUUCAACAGAUCUCUGGAGUCCCCUCCUGCUUUAAACUCUCUACAAUCAUCCCGGUCCCCAAGAAACCCUCCAUCACUGGACUGAAUGACUACAGGCCUGUCGCUCUGACAUCUGUUGUCAUGAAGACCUUUGAACAGCUGGUAUUGGCCCGCCUAAAGACUGAAACAGAACAGAUGCUGGAUCCCCUACAGUUUGCCUACCAUGCAAACAGAUCAGUGGACGACGCAGUCAACACUGGACUGCACUACAUUUUGCAACACCUGGACUGCCCAGGGACAUAUGCCCAGAUUCUGUUUGUUGUCUUCAGUUCGGAUUUUAAUACUAUAAUUCCGGAAAUUCUCCACUCCAAACUCCUAAGGCUCACAAUACCCCUUCCAUCUGUCAGUGGAUCACCAGCUUCCUGACAGACAGGAAACAACAGGUGAGACUGGGAGGUCAGUGUUGUAGUACUCGAGACUCGGACUCGGUCUUGGACUCGGUCUUGGACUCGGUCUCGAGACCAUGUUUUAAUGAUCUUGGUCUUGUCAUGGACUCGUGAACAUUUUGACUCGGUCUCGACUCGUACUCGAAUACAUUUGGAAUCGGACUUAUUCUAGAGUCCACACGAGUCCCUAUUAAAAUAUAUAUUACUGUUUCUUUAAACUGAUGUAAGAUUGACACGAACAGUGAUUGGUGAUUUUUUGCACGCAUCAGACUGGCGCGAGGUCAGAUGGUGCAAGCCAUUACAGGUCUUGACUACAGAAUUUUGGCAGAAGUCUGUGUUAAAGACUCUGAAAACGUGAUGUUUACUCUCCGUGAAUGGAAAAAACUUCAAGAGCUGAGUGCAUUUCUAGGACCAUUCUCAGAGGCAGCUGACCUAACACAAGGUGAAAAGUCUGUGACUAUAAGCAUGGUGGUUCCUACUGUUUUGGACCUAAACGCACAUCUUCUGAAAAUGGGAGAGACAAGAUCCCAGUGCCAGCCUUUAAUUAAGGCCUUCACACCUCUCUACAAAGAAGAUUUUCAGGAAUAUUUGUGAAAGCUAAAAUGGCCAUGGAGUGUGAAGAACCCAUGCCUUUUUACCAAGAUGUGUACUUUCUUUCUGCAAUGCUUGAUCCACAAUUUGGUCUUAACUGGGUGGAUUUAGAUGUUACCACCACGAUGCCACAUCACUAAAGAAGUUCAGAGAAGAUGUAAAGAGGACUCUGACCAAUACAUUGAUCUCGGCCGUUGAGAGUAUGGCAGAGGGUGACACUUCUCAGCAGCCGAAUGCAGAUGAUUCUUCACAAAAAGAUUCUCCACCAAUCAAAUUGCCACGGCUAGUAGCCCGCUACAAAGCCCACAAAAGCCAGCGCAACCUUACAGUGGAUGCCAGUGUCUCUGAUUAGAUAAGCAAAUACUUCACUGACAUUCAGGAUCCAUGUACAGCACUUGUCUUCUGGUCUAAAAACAUAGGACAAAUAUCCCCAACUGCAUACAAUAGCAGUAAAACCUUUGUCAGUCCCCGCUUCUUCUGCACCAGUGGAGAGAAUUUUUAGUCGGGGUGGAUUAAUCAUGAGGCCACAUCGUACUCGUCUGGGUUACAGGAUGGUGUCCUCACUUAUCUAUUUGAAAAGCAAUUAUACCCAUCUGUAAUCUUCAAAACUUUUAUAAAUGCACAUAAUUCAAGGCAAAUUCAGUAGUUAACCUUUGAAAGUUAAAAGUUGUUAUAUUUUAGUUUAACAUAUGGUACAGUAAUGUUAUGUGUACUAGAAUUGUCAUGUAGGCUAGUAAAGUGGUACAGUUGUGUUAUGUACUGGUGGUACUGGCUGUAAUUUUUUGUAAUAAAAUUGUCUUUAUACGUCA
Long non-coding RNA from Tachysurus vachellii, 2602 nucleotides. RefSeq lists it as uncharacterized. The record is from RefSeq and is a predicted model, not a curated record. Lineage: Eukaryota; Metazoa; Chordata; Actinopteri; Siluriformes; Bagridae. The transcript has 3 exons.